CAGUAGCCACGGGAAUACGAGGGGGGCAAGCGUUGUUCGGAAUUAUUGGGCGUAAAGGGCGCGUAGGCGGUUUGACAAGUCUUAUGUGAAAUCUUCGGGCUCAACUCGAAGUCUGCAUGGGAAACUGUCGGGCUUGAGUAUGGGAGAGGUGAGUGGAAUUUCCGGUGUAGCGGUAAAAUGCGUAGAUAUCGGAAGGAACACCUGUGGCGAAAGCGGCUCACUGGACCAUAACUGACGCUGAGGCGCGAAAGCUAGGGGAGCAAACAAGAUUAGAUACCCGCGUAGUCCCUGUCUCUUAUAC
Molecule: ribosomal RNA, 301 nt
Filed under: uncultured bacterium
Lineage: Bacteria
Description: partial 16S ribosomal RNA
Rfam family: Bacterial small subunit ribosomal RNA
Source: RNAcentral